GUCACACUGCAGAACAGAGUGAUAUUGCAAAAAGCCAAAUUAUCAGUCUACGUGCAACCACCAUUAGAAUUGACUUGUGAUCAGUUCACCUUUGAAUUUAUGAAUCGAAAUCCUGAUGGCAUUCCGCGAGUUAUCCAAUGUAAAUUUAGACUUCCCCUAAAGUUAAUUUGCCUACCAGGUCAGCCUUCAAAAACUGCAAGCCACAAAAUUACUAUUGAUACCAACAAAUCUCCAGUCAGUCUUCUUAGUCUCUUCCCAGGUUUUGCCAGUCAGUCAGAUGAUGAUCAGGUGAAUGUAAUGGGUUUUCACUUCUUAGGAGGUGCUCGAAUUACUGUUCUUGCUUCCAAAACUUCUCAACGAUAUCGCAUUCAGAGUGAACAAUUUGAAGAUCUUUGGCUCAUAACCAAUGAGCUUAUUCUUCGCCUUCAAGAAUAUUUUGAAAAACAGGGAGUCAAAGAUUUUGCAUGUUCUUUUUCGGGAUCUAUACCCCUUCAAGAAUAUUUUGAGUUGAUUGAUCAUCAUUUUGAGCUACGGAUAAAUGGUGAAAAAUUAGAAGAACUCUUAUCUGAGAGAGCUGUACAAUUUCGGGCCAUUCAACGCCGGCUACUAGCAAGAUUCAAAGAUAAAACUCCUGCCCCUCUUCAACACCUGGACACCUUGUUAGAUGGAACCUACAAGCAGGUAAUUGCUCUAGCAGAUGCAGUGGAGGAAAACCAAGGCAAUCUGUUCCAGUCAUUCACCAGGCUGAAGAGUGCCACCCAUUUGGUGAUUCUGCUGAUCGCGCUGUGGCAGAAGCUUAGUGCUGACCAGGUUGCUAUUCUGGAAGCGGCAUUUCUGCCGCUACAAGAAGACACUCAAGAAUUGGGCUGGGAAGAAACGGUGGAUGCCGCCAUUUCCCACCUGUUGAAGACUUGCCUGUCGAAGAGUUCUAAGGAGCAGGCUUUGAACCUCAACAGCCAGCUGAACAUACCCAAAGACACAAGCCAACUGAAGAAACAUAUCACCUUGCUCUGCGAUAGAUUAUCCAAAGGUGGCCGUCUCUGCCUAAGUACCGAUGCAGCAGCCCCACAGACCAUGGUCAUGCCAG
RNAcentral lists this non-coding RNA (1087 nucleotides) under Homo sapiens (human). The record is from RNAcentral. Lineage: Eukaryota; Metazoa; Chordata; Mammalia; Primates; Hominidae.